Molecule: unclassified non-coding RNA, 339 nt
Filed under: uncultured fungus
Lineage: Eukaryota; Fungi
Description: partial contains small subunit ribosomal RNA, internal transcribed spacer 1, and 5.8S ribosomal RNA
Rfam family: Eukaryotic small subunit ribosomal RNA (bases 1-73)
Source: RNAcentral
ACAAACUUGGUCAUUUAGAGGAAGUAAAAGUCGUAACAAGGUUUCCGUAGGUGAACCUGCGGAAGGAUCAUUAAUGAAUAACCUGUAGUUGAGCUGGCCUUUCUAAACAAGAGGCAUGUGCUUGCUACUAACUCUUCAUCCACCUGUGCACACUUUGUAAGGGGAGAAAUGUUUACAGGGUUCAGCCGUCAUGCUUUACCUUCAGUUUCUUCUCUUAUGUUUUUAUACACACAAUUGAAUGUUUAGAAUGUCUACUUUAUGAAGGCUUGUCCUUCUUAAAAACAUAAUACAACUUUCAGCAACGGAUCUCUUGGCUCUCGCAUCGAUGAAGAACGCAGC